AGUGAACGCUGGCGGUAGGCCUAACACAUGCAAGUCGAACGGCAGCACAGUAAGAGCUUGCUCUUACGGGUGGCGAGUGGCGGACGGGUGAGGAAUACAUCGGAAUCUACUUUUUCGUGGGUGAUAACGUAGGGAAACUUACGCUAAUACCGCAUACGACCUACGGGUGAAAGCAGGGGAGCUUCGGACCUUGCGCGAUUGAAUGAGCCGAUGUCGGAUUAGCUAGUUGGCGGGGUAAAGGCCCACCAAGGCGACGAUCCGUAGCUGGUCUGAGAGGAUGAUCAGCCACACUGGAACUGAGACACGGUCCAGACUCCUACGGGAGGCAGCAGUAGGGAAUAUUGGACAAUGGGCGCAAGCCUGAUCCAGCAAUACCGCGUGGGUGAAGAAGGCCUUCGGGUUGUAAAGCCCUUUUGUUGGGAAAGAAAAGCAGCAGGUUAAUACCCCGAUGUUCUGACGGUACCCAAAGAAUAAGCACCGGCUAACUUCGUG
This 492-nucleotide ribosomal RNA is filed under the name uncultured bacterium. RNAcentral's name for it is "partial 16S ribosomal RNA". It matches the Rfam family "Bacterial small subunit ribosomal RNA", at positions 29 to 507 of the family's 1533-position model. The record is from RNAcentral.